AUACGGAAGGUCCGGGCGUUAUCCGGAUUUAUUGGGUUUAAAGGGAGCGCAGGCUGGGUUUUAAGCGUGCCGUGAAAUGUACCGGCUCAACCGGUGAGUUGCGGCGCGAACUGGAGCCCUUGAGUGCGUACGAGGAUGGCGGAAUUCGUGGUGUAGCGGUGAAAUGCUUAGAUAUCACGAAGAACUCCGAUUGCGAAGGCAGCUGUCCAGUCCGUAACUGACGCUAAUGCUCGAAGGUGCGGGUAUCGAACAGGAUUAGAUACCCUGGUAGUCCGCACGGUAAACGAUGGAUGCCCGCUGUUGGCGAUACAGUGUCAGCGGCCAAGCGAAAGCGUUAAGCAUCCCACCUGGGGAGUACGCCGGCAACGGUGAAACUUAAAGGAAUUGACGGGG
This 393-nucleotide ribosomal RNA is filed under the name uncultured bacterium. Its description in RNAcentral is "partial 16S ribosomal RNA". It matches the Rfam family "Bacterial small subunit ribosomal RNA", at positions 523 to 918 of the family's 1533-position model. The record is from RNAcentral.